Galleria mellonella (greater wax moth) is the source of this 321-nucleotide long non-coding RNA. RefSeq lists it as uncharacterized. The transcript has 3 exons. Lineage: Eukaryota; Metazoa; Arthropoda; Insecta; Lepidoptera; Pyralidae. The record is from RefSeq and is a predicted model, not a curated record.
AUUAAGUAAGUAAAUAGUUUGAAAUACAAGAAUUCAAAGAACAAUAUUUACGCUAUCAGUACACGCUGACGUAAAUGAGAAAUGAAGUGGUUAAUACAUCAGUUGGCGUACCAUUGUGACGAUUUCAUCAAGGAUUACCUUUGAUGGCCUUCAGAGGGAUAUUUAUUGCGAUAAAUGGGGGGGCAAAUGAGCAUAGAGCUCGCCUGAUGGUAAGUGACUACCGCCGCCCAUGAUCACACGCAACACCAGAGACAUUGCAGCCGCUGUCCACUGCUGAACAUAAGCCUUCCCCGGAAGAGAUAAAGGAAGAGAAUAAGGAGA